GCCUGGAUGGCUCAGUAGGUAGAGCAAGAGAUUCUUAAUCUUGGGGUUGUGAGUUUGAAUCCCAUACUGGGUG
RNAcentral lists this transfer RNA (73 nucleotides) under Canis lupus familiaris (dog). It matches the Rfam family "tRNA". Rfam says of the family: Transfer RNA (tRNA) molecules are approximately 80 nucleotides in length. Their secondary structure includes four short double-helical elements and three loops (D, anti-codon, and T loops). Further hydrogen bonds mediate the characteristic L-shaped molecular structure. tRNAs have two regions of fundamental functional importance: the anti-codon, which is responsible for specific mRNA codon recognition, and the 3' end, to which the tRNAs corresponding amino acid is attached (by aminoacyl-tRNA synthetases). tRNAs cope with the degeneracy of the genetic code in two manners: having more than one tRNA (with a specific anti-codon) for a particular amino acid; and 'wobble' base-pairing, i.e. permitting non-standard base-pairing at the 3rd anti-codon position. Lineage: Eukaryota; Metazoa; Chordata; Mammalia; Carnivora; Canidae. RNAcentral also lists the same sequence under 1 other name. The record is from Rfam by way of RNAcentral.